GACGAACGCUGGCGGCGUGCUUAACACAUGCAAGUCGAACGGAAAGGCCCUGCUUUUGUGGGGUGCUCGAGUGGCGAACGGGUGAGUAACACGUGAGUAACCUGCCCUUGACUUUGGGAUAACUUCAGGAAACUGGGGCUAAUACCGGAUAGGAGCUCCUGCUGCAUGGUGGGGGUUGGAAAGUUUCGGCGGUUGGGGAUGGACUCGCGGCUUAUCAGCUUGUUGGUGGGGUAGUGGCUUACCAAGGCUUUGACGGGUAGCCGGCCUGAGAGGGUGACCGGCCACAUUGGGACUGCGAUACGGCCCAGACUCCUACGGGAGGCAGCAGUGGGGAAUAUUGCAGAAUGGGCGAAAGCCUGAUGCAGCAACGCCGCGUGCGGGAUGACGGCCUUCGGGUUGUAAACCGCUUUCGCCGGUGACGAAGCGUGAGUGACGGUAAUGGGUAAAGAAGCACCGGCUAACUACGUG
RNAcentral lists this ribosomal RNA (468 nucleotides) under uncultured bacterium. RNAcentral describes it as "partial 16S ribosomal RNA". It matches the Rfam family "Bacterial small subunit ribosomal RNA", at positions 28 to 507 of the family's 1533-position model. The record is from RNAcentral.